GCUUACGCUGAAGGCCUGUUUCCUAGGCAACAGAAGGAGGGACUUGUUUCCUCAUCGUAGCCUAGGGGAAUGUCCCUGAUCCCAGGCAGAAAGUGCCACAUGCACAUGCACUCAGACUGUCCCUACUUCUCAAGUAAAGUCUGCAAGAAGCUGGCUGGGCCCUGCUGCUCCUUGUGGGGAUGUCAUCAUCAACCAAAUGGGGAUCAUUCUCAGAACAGG
Molecule: RNase MRP RNA, 219 nt
Filed under: Erinaceus europaeus (western European hedgehog)
Lineage: Eukaryota; Metazoa; Chordata; Mammalia; Eulipotyphla; Erinaceidae
Description: RNase MRP (ENSEEUG00000020224.1)
Rfam family: RNase MRP
About the family: RNase MRP is an enzymatically active ribonucleoprotein with two distinct roles in eukaryotes. In mitochondria it plays a direct role in the initiation of mitochondrial DNA replication. In the nucleus it is involved in precursor rRNA processing, where it cleaves the internal transcribed spacer 1 between 18S and 5.8S rRNAs.
Source: RNAcentral